AUGUGUGUAAACGGACAAAUGUUCAAAUGGAAGGUCUGCCCCCAAGGGUACUGCAACUCACCAGCGGCAGCCACCAACAGCACCCCUGAGGCCUACGCUACACCUGGUGACGUCCAAAUCUGGAGUUACGUAGACGACAUCGCCACUAUGGGCAGAACUCCAGAAGCAGUAACCCAAACUACGGAAAAGCUGGUACACCACUUACAAACCCACGGAUGGACUGUAAACAUGCACAAAUCUCAACUCGCUGCAAAGCCGCACAUUUCCUUCCUUGGUGAAGUGUUCGAUCAUGAAACACGCAAGGUGACGACGCACACAACUCCAACCAUACCCCGGGUCAAGGGUGCCAUCCCAACGAAAAAGGAAAUCCAACAACUUCUAGGCCAGCUAAACUGGCACAAAGCUCAUAUUCCAACAAGUCGUCUAGAAGUCAUUGCAUGCUUACAUCAGCAACUACGUACUAGAGCCAGCACCCGAAAUAUAUGGGACCCCAUCCAUGACUACGAUAAGUUACAAGAACUUUUAAAAGCUGCUUCGACUACAGUCCUCCACAGUAUUAGCCCCAACGAGCCCAUAACCGUUACCCUUGGGCAUAUGAGUCAAAUACCCUGGGCAACUGGCACUACUAGCACCAACAAAUUAGUAUUUUUGACCUACAAGGCUCUACGACCGUCUCAACUUCGAUAUGGAGUUAUAGGAACCCUUUUACUAGCAUCCCAACUCGCCACAACCGCCUGUCCCAGUAUUUCUGCAACCACUGGAACUGUUGUCGCAUCAGGCGUCACACUACUCCCACUUCUCACUCCCGACCGACCAGACCCGACCUUUCACAGCCUAUGUACCACCUGGCAAGAAUCAGUCCAAGUCUUCCACUUUCACUUCCAUCACUGGAAGACAAAAGAGGCCCCAGUAAGUACAACGCCUUCCCUUCAUCAUCAAAACCCUUUAUUAAUGUACGGCACUAUCCUGCCCGCCUGGGUAGCAUCAGACAGGAGCACAGCCCAUGGCGGAGCGCACGGGUUUUUCUGUAACCCGUGCCAACGCACUGAAGUAGAGCCCGCAGCUCCACCUCCAAACGCACAACUUGAAGAACUCCUCACAUUUAAAGGAGCCCUCCAACACUACUUAGACGCCCAUAAUGUCCACGAACCCGUCCCUGUAAUAGCUAUUGACUCUCAAUAUAUCUACAAAAUAUUACCUGGCCAGGCACAAGCCACAGAAAACCAACCCGUCUGGAAUACGAUCUUCGCUAUAUUACCCCACUUUAAAACCAUACCUCUAUUACGGCACACCCGCUCUCAUCGGCCAGCUACCGACCCGGUCCACGCCCACAUCGAUGCCGUACUGCAGGACCCAGAAAAGCGCGCAGCAGCCGUCAAGGAAACAGCACACCAACCACAACAAGUUGCAGCAGCCAUCCUCGCUAAAACAAGCGUCAAUAACCAGCACUUUGUGCAAUGGCUACAUGAGUUCUGGAGCCACCCCAGCCCCAACAAGGCCCAUCUCAAACGGAAGCGAAUGACCGCUGAGACACCGCCAUUUACCAUUACGCUUCAGGACUGGAAAACACAGAGCCGAACCUGCUACAUGUGUAACAAGGUCAAGGCCACACCAGCCGCAGCAGCCAAACAGGCGUUUGACCCCAGGAAAGACACGGCAAGUCGACCUCAUGGGACCACUCCCUGGAGUCAAACGUCAGGCCAAGGCCUUAGUCCCAGUCGAUCUAGGCACCAGACGGCUACGAUGCAUCCCCCUUACAAAGACUACCGCCAAAACUGUCUGUUCUGCACUACUCCAGGCCACGAGCCUCUGGCAAGUGCCAAACGAAAUUCAAUCCGACGGAGGACCACCCUUUACGUCAAAAGCCUUAGUAACCUUCUGCAGUACCUACAUCAUCAUCUGGCACACCCACAUCCCCAUCACCCACAGUCAAAUGGCGCUGUUGAGCAUUUCAUAGGAAUCCUCAAAGAAAAUCUCCGCCGAACAGGCGACGGCACAUAUUCAAACUGGACCAGCCGUCUCCCGCAAAUUCUAAUUCAACUUAACGAAGAAAAACCAUUGUGGACCGACAGGAAACAAGAAACGCCAGAACCAUGGAAACCCCGAUUCCAGCCGGGGGAGCUUACCUGGGUAGCCACACCAGGACCCACGGAGAAGAAACAACUACUGUACCAAGAACAGUACAAUCCGCAGGAACGUACCCAAACACCUACCAAGUCCAAACCGAGCAACUUACAAAAUCAUUCCUAG
Molecule: long non-coding RNA, 2250 nt
Organism: Crocodylus porosus (Australian saltwater crocodile)
Lineage: Eukaryota; Metazoa; Chordata; Crocodylia; Crocodylidae
Source: Ensembl